RNAcentral lists this ribosomal RNA (1348 nucleotides) under metagenome. RNAcentral describes it as "bacterial LSU rRNA". It matches the Rfam family "Bacterial large subunit ribosomal RNA", at positions 1564 to 2925 of the family's 2925-position model. The record is from RNAcentral.
UGAGUACGAGCUGCUACGGCAGCGAAGUGGGUGAUGUCAUGCUUCCAAGAAAAGCCCUAUACCCGUUAAGGCAUGAUGGCCUGUACCCGAAACCGACACAGGUGGGGUGGUAGAGAAUACCGAGGGGCGCGAGGUAACUCUCUCUAAGGAACUCGGCAAAAUGGCCCCGUAACUUCGGGAGAAGGGGUGCCACCGCAAGGUGGUCGCAGUGAAGAGGCCCAGGCGACUGUUUACCAAAAACACAGGUCUCCGCUAAGUCGCAAGACGAUGUAUGGGGGCUGACGCCUGCCCCUGCCGGAAGGUUAAGGAAGCUGGUCAGCGUAAGCGAAGCUAGCGACUGAAGCCCCGGUGAACGGCGGCCGUAACAAUAACGGUCCUAAGGUAGCGAAAUUCCUUGUCGGGUAAGUUCCGACCCGCACGAAAGGCGUAACGAUCUGGGCGCUGUCUCGGAGAGAGGCUCGGCGAAAUAGAAUUGUCUGUGAAGAUGCGGACUACGUGCACCCGGACAGAAAGACCCUAUGAAGCUUUACUGUAGCUUGGUAUUGUGCUCGGGCUCGGAAUGCGCAGGAUAGGUGGGAGGCUAUGAACCAUUGCUUGCGGGUGAUGGUGAGCCACUGGUGAGAUACCACUCUUUCCGAGCUAGAGUUCUAACAGCCACCCGUUAUCCGGGGGCUGGACAGUAUCAGGUGGGCAGUUUGACUGGGGCGGUCGCCUCCUAAAAGGUAACGGAGGCGCGCAAAGGUUUGCUCAGGCUGGUUGGAAAUCAGCCGACGAGUGUAAAAGCAGAAGCAAGCUUGACUGUGAGACCUACAAGUCGAACAGGGAGGAAACUCGGCUUUAGUGAUCCGACGGUUCUGCGUGGAAGGGCCGUCGCUCAACGGAUAAAAGUUACUCUAAGGAUAACAGGCUGAUCUCCCCCAAGAGUUCACAUCGACGGGGAGGUUUGGCACCUCGAUGUCGGCUCAUCGCAACCUGGGGCUGAAGUCGGUCCCAAGGGUUGGGCUGUUCGCCCAUUAAAGCGGUACGCGAGCUGGGUUCAGAACGUCGUGAGACAGUUCGGUCCAUAUCCGGUGCAUGCGCAGGAAUAUUGAGAGGAUUUCUCCCUAGUACGAGAGGACCGGGAGGAACGCACCUCUGGUGUACCAGUUAUCGUGCCAACGGUAAACGCUGGGUAGCCAUGUGCGGAGAGGAUAACCGCUGAAAGCAUCUAAGUGGGAAGCCCACCUCAAGAUGAGUAUUCCCAUGGGGUAACCCAGUAAGGUCACGGGAAGAACACCCGUUGAUAGGCUCUACGUGGAAGCGCAGUAAUGUGUGAAGCGGAGGGGUACUAAUAGACCGAGGGCUUGAC